UACGUAGGGUGCAAGCGUUGUCCGGAAUUAUUGGGCGUAAAGAGCUCGUAGGCGGCGUGUCGCGUCGGAUGUGAAAACCCGCAGCUUAACUGCGGGCCUGCAUUCGAUACGGGCAUGCUCGAGUUCGGCAGGGGAGACUGGAAUUCCUGGUGUAGCGGUGAAAUGCGCAGAUAUCAGGAGGAACACCGGUGGCGAAGGCGGGUCUCUGGGCCGUAACUGACGCUGAGGAGCGAAAGCGUGGGGAG
This 245-nucleotide ribosomal RNA is filed under the name uncultured bacterium. RNAcentral's name for it is "partial 16S ribosomal RNA". It matches the Rfam family "Bacterial small subunit ribosomal RNA", at positions 524 to 768 of the family's 1533-position model. The record is from RNAcentral.